AUUGAACGCUGGCGGCAUGCCUUACACAUGCAAGUCGAACGGCAGCGGACCUUCGGGUGCCGGCGAGUGGCGAACGGGUGAGUAAUAUAUCGGAACGUACCUUUCAGUGGGGGAUAACGUAGCGAAAGCUACGCUAAUACCGCAUAUUCUGUGAGCAGGAAAGCAGGGGAUCGCAAGACCUUGCGCUGAUUGAGCGGCCGAUAUCAGAUUAGCUAGUUGGUGAGGUAAAGGGCUCACCAAGGCGACGAUCUGUAGCGGGUCUGAGAGGAUGAUCCGCCACACUGGAACUGAGACACGGUCCAGACUCCUACGGGAGGCAGCAGUGGGGGAAUUUUGGACAAUGGGCGCAAGCCUGAUCCAGCCAUGCCGCGUGAGUGAAGAAGGCCUGG
RNAcentral lists this ribosomal RNA (389 nucleotides) under uncultured bacterium. Its description in RNAcentral is "bacterial SSU rRNA". It matches the Rfam family "Bacterial small subunit ribosomal RNA", at positions 30 to 419 of the family's 1533-position model. The record is from RNAcentral.